This is a small nuclear RNA of Molossus molossus (Pallas's mastiff bat), 104 nucleotides long. NCBI's taxonomy places the organism in Eukaryota, Metazoa, Chordata, Mammalia, Chiroptera, Molossidae. The record is from RefSeq and is a predicted model, not a curated record.
GUGCUCACUUCGGCAGCACAUAUACUAAAAUUGGAACAAUACAGCCAUUAGCGUGGCCCCUGUACAAGGAUGCCACACAAAUUCGUGAAGUGUUCUCUAUAUAU